Molecule: long non-coding RNA, 1079 nt
Filed under: Marmota monax (woodchuck)
Lineage: Eukaryota; Metazoa; Chordata; Mammalia; Rodentia; Sciuridae
Source: RNAcentral
CUUGCAUCCAAGAAACACUGGCUUCCUGUUUCUUCCUCCUUUAAAGUGUUUAUAUCUCCGUCUUCCGCCAUGUUGCUCAUGCCUUCCCCACCCCACAUGGUCAGCAGAAUUCAGUCAGAGAAGUCUGACUCCAUGCUCAACUCUGAGCCACUCUGCCGUGUGUGAGGGAGUCAGAAGCACAGCUGGUCCCCAGAGGCUGAGAAGUGGGAUGGCACUUGCCAGGCAGGAGGCUGAGGGCCAACCCCUGGAUCCUGAUGGCACAUUGGAGGUGACCAGGAAGCAUCCGUGGGCCUUCCGUUCUCCAUACACACUUCCACCCUGGCCCCUCUCCUUAGCCCGGUCUCCAUCCUGGGCAGUUCUCAGGACACACACCGAGGAGCAAGCGUCGCCACAUUUCUUCUCCCCAGACUUAUUCUCUGCACCGCGGAGUCCUGGAAUACAAGUUCAUCAUAUGCAAUGAAGAUGGCCUGGGUGGCAGAUGGUGACAUACCAGGAACAGAACCUUCCUCAUUAUUCUGCUAUUAACUGAAUUUACCUUUAGACUUGUCAUCCCCUUGAAGUGACAGAAACUUAACUUUGGUUACUUUGGGGUCUCCUCACUCUCCCCAGGUAGCACCUUGGUACCAGAGGCUUAAGCCACACCAGGUGUAUUUGGGGGCCAAUCACGGCUGGCUCCUGUGUCCCGUGGACACCUGCUGACUGCUCUGCCAACCCACUUGUUCUUCCUGUCUCCCCUCCCCCACAGUUCUUCUUCCUGCCUAGAAAGGUCUAGAAGCCUGGGUUGCUGCUUAUUCCAUGCUGUGCUGGGACCAUCCUUCCUGGCCAUCACUCCACUCUGCAGGACCACUAUCCCAGGCUGACUGUUGCCCAAGCACCCUGGACAGCAGGCAUGGCCGUUUCCUCUGUGGGUCCUCCUGCCCCCGGGACAUACAUGCUGGAAGGCAGCUCAGGAAUCCCCCACAUCUGCACAGGGUUUGCUCAGGCCCUGGGCUCUUGGCUUGGGCUUGGUUGUCCUUCGGGGGGUCUCCUGACUCAGAGUGAAACUGCACUCUCCGGCUCUUGCUAAAGCCAGGCCUGAA